Molecule: ribosomal RNA, 497 nt
Filed under: uncultured bacterium
Lineage: Bacteria
Description: partial 16S ribosomal RNA
Rfam family: Bacterial small subunit ribosomal RNA
Source: RNAcentral
GAUGAACGCUGGCGGCGUGCCUAAUACAUGCAAGUCGAGCGAACGGAUGAGAAGCUUGCUUCUCUGAUGUUAGCGGCGGACGGGUGAGUAACACGUGGGUAACCUACCUAUAAGACUGGGAUAACUUCGGGAAACCGGAGCUAAUACCGGAUAAUAUUUUGAACCGCAUGGUUCAAUAGUGAAAGAUGGUCUUGCUGUCACUUAUAGAUGGACCCGCGCUGCAUUAGCUAGUUGGUAAGGUAACGGCUUACCAAGGCAACGAUGCAUAGCCGACCUGAGAGGGUGAUCGGCCACACUGGAACUGAGACACGGUCCAGACUCCUACGGGAGGCAGCAGUAGGGAAUCUUCCGCAAUGGGCGAAAGCCUGACGGAGCAACGCCGCGUGAGUGAUGAAGGUCUUCGGAUCGUAAAACUCUGUUAUUAGGGAAGAACAUAUGUGUAAGUAACUGUGCACAUCUUGACGGUACCUAAUCAGAAAGCCACGGCUAACUACGUG